GGUUAAGCGACUAAGCGUACACGGUGGAUGCCCUGGCAGUCAGAGGCGAUGAAGGACGUGCUAAUCUGCGAUAAGCGUCGGUAAGGUGAUAUGAACCGUUAUAACCGGCGAUUUCCGAAUGGGGAAACCCAGUGUGUUUCGACACACUAUCAUUAACUGAAUCCAUAGGUUAAUGAGGCGAACCGGGGGAACUGAAACAUCUAAGUACCCCGAGGAAAAGAAAUCAACCGAGAUUCCCCCAGUAGCGGCGAGCGAACGGGGAGGAGCCCAGAGCCUGAAUCAGUGUGUGUGUUAGUGGAAGCGUCUGGAAAGGCGCGCGAUACAGGGUGACAGCCCCGUACACAAAAAUGCACAUGCUGUGAGCUCGAUGAGUAGGGCGGGACACGUGGUAUCCUGUCUGAAUAUGGGGGGACCAUCCUCCAAGGCUAAAUACUCCUGACUGACCGAUAGUGAACCAGUACCGUGAGGGAAAGGCGAAAAGAACCCCGGCGAGGGGAGUGAAAAAGAACCUGAAACCGUGUACGUACAAGCAGUGGGAGCACGCUUAGGCGUGUGACUGCGUACCUUUUGUAUAAUGGGUCAGCGACUUAUAUUCUGUAGCAAGGUUAACCGAAUAGGGGAGCCGAAGGGAAACCGAGUCUUAACUGGGCGUUAAGUUGCAGGGUAUAGACCCGAAACCCGGUGAUCUAGCCAUGGGCAGGUUGAAGGUUGGGUAACACUAACUGGAGGACCGAACCGACUAAUGUUGAAAAAUUAGCGGAUGACUUGUGGCUGGGGGUGAAAGGCCAAUCAAACCGGGAGAUAGCUGGUUCUCCCCGAAAGCUAUUUAGGUAGCGCCUCGUGAAUUCAUCUCCGGGGGUAGAGCACUGUUUCGGCAAGGGGGUCAUCCCGACUUACCAACCCGAUGCAAACUGCGAAUACCGGAGAAUGUUAUCACGGGAGACACACGGCGGGUGCUAACGUCCGUCGUGAAGAGGGAAACAACCCAGACCGCCAGCUAAGGUCCCAAAGUCAUGGUUAAGUGGGAAACGAUGUGGGAAGGCCCAGACAGCCAGGAUGUUGGCUUAGAAGCAGCCAUCAUUUAAAGAAAGCGUAAUAGCUCACUGGUCGAGUCGGCCUGCGCGGAAGAUGUAACGGGGCUAAACCAUGCACCGAAGCUGCGGCAGCGACGCUGAUGCGUUGUUGGGUAGGGGAGCGUUCUGUAAGCCUGCGAAGGUGUGCUGUGAGGCAUGCUGGAGGUAUCAGAAGUGCGAAUGCUGACAUAAGUAACGAUAAAGCGGGUGAAAAGCCCGCUCGCCGGAAGACCAAGGGUUCCUGUCCAACGUUAAUCGGGGCAGGGUGAGUCGACCCCUAAGGCGAGGCCGAAAGGCGUAGUCGAUGGGAAACAGGUUAAUAUUCCUGUACUUGGUGUUACUGCGAAGGGGGGACGGAGAAGGCUAUGUUGGCCGGGCGACGGUUGUCCCGGUUUAAGCGUGUAGGCUGGUUUUCCAGGCAAAUCCGGAAAAUCAAGGCUGAGGCGUGAUGACGAGGCACUACGGUGCUGAAGCAACAAAUGCCCUGCUUCCAGGAAAAGCCUCUAAGCAUCAGGUAACAUCAAAUCGUACCCCAAACCGACACAGGUGGUCAGGUAGAGAAUACCAAGGCGCUUGAGAGAACUCGGGUGAAGGAACUAGGCAAAAUGGUGCCGUAACUUCGGGAGAAGGCACGCUGAUAUGUAGGUGAAGUCCCUCGCGGAUGGAGCUGAAAUCAGUCGAAGAUACCAGCUGGCUGCAACUGUUUAUUAAAAACACAGCACUGUGCAAACACGAAAGUGGACGUAUACGGUGUGACGCCUGCCCGGUGCCGGAAGGUUAAUUGAUGGGGUUAGCGCAAGCGAAGCUCUUGAUCGAAGCCCCGGUAAACGGCGGCCGUAACUAUAACGGUCCUAAGGUAGCGAAAUUCCUUGUCGGGUAAGUUCCGACCUGCACGAAUGGCGUAAUGAUGGCCAGGCUGUCUCCACCCGAGACUCAGUGAAAUUGAACUCGCUGUGAAGAUGCAGUGUACCCGCGGCAAGACGGAAAGACCCCGUGAACCUUUACUAUAGCUUGACACUGAACAUUGAGCCUUGAUGUGUAGGAUAGGUGGGAGGCUUAGAAGUGUGGACGCCAGUCUGCAUGGAGCCGACCUUGAAAUACCACCCUUUAAUGUUUGAUGUUCUAACGUUGACCCGUAAUCCGGGUUGCGGACAGUGUCUGGUGGGUAGUUUGACUGGGGCGGUCUCCUCCUAAAGAGUAACGGAGGAGCACGAAGGUUGGCUAAUCCUGGUCGGACAUCAGGAGGUUAGUGCAAUGGCAUAAGCCAGCUUGACUGCGAGCGUGACGGCGCGAGCAGGUGCGAAAGCAGGUCAUAGUGAUCCGGUGGUUCUGAAUGGAAGGGCCAUCGCUCAACGGAUAAAAGGUACUCCGGGGAUAACAGGCUGAUACCGCCCAAGAGUUCAUAUCGACGGCGGUGUUUGGCACCUCGAUGUCGGCUCAUCACAUCCUGGGGCUGAAGUAGGUCCCAAGGGUAUGGCUGUUCGCCAUUUAAAGUGGUACGCGAGCUGGGUUUAGAACGUCGUGAGACAGUUCGGUCCCUAUCUGCCGUGGGCGCUGGAGAACUGAGGGGGGCUGCUCCUAGUACGAGAGGACCGGAGUGGACGCAUCACUGGUGUUCGGGUUGUCAUGCCAAUGGCACUGCCCGGUAGCUAAAUGCGGAAGAGAUAAGUGCUGAAAGCAUCUAAGCACGAAACUUGCCCCGAGAUGAGUUCUCCCUGACCCUUUAAGGGUCCUGAAGGAACGUUGAAGACGACGACGUUGAUAGGCCGGGUGUGUAAGCGCAGCGAUGCGUUGAGCUAACCGGUACUAAUGAACCGUGAGGCUUAACCUU
RNAcentral lists this ribosomal RNA (2904 nucleotides) under Escherichia coli. RNAcentral's name for it is "23S ribosomal RNA". It matches the Rfam family "Bacterial large subunit ribosomal RNA". Lineage: Bacteria; Pseudomonadati; Pseudomonadota; Gammaproteobacteria; Enterobacterales; Enterobacteriaceae. The record is from RNAcentral.